Molecule: long non-coding RNA, 756 nt
Filed under: Gallus gallus (chicken)
Lineage: Eukaryota; Metazoa; Chordata; Aves; Galliformes; Phasianidae
Description: long non-coding RNA NONGGAT004082
Source: RNAcentral
UAAAUAAAGGAAAAGGAUGACAGGUGGUCUAAAUCCUGCCCUGAGUUCUCCUCUUCAAAGGAAGGACAUGAGCUGGACGUCACAACCCAUGGACACCUGGGAAGGAUAUGUACCAUCUAGGAAUCGUUCUUGUGGAAAGGGCAAGACAAGAUGCUCUUCUAAGACAACGCGACUAAUACCACCUGGGAUUUCGGGGAGCUCCUGCAGGGGCCCAUCGUGGCUGCCGUCUGCCCAUUCUGAUGGACUCUGUGAGGAUCCAUAUCAGGCUGUGCUGGAGAAGAAAGCCUCCAGCAACUGCCAUGGCACUGGCAAGGCAGGGGCUGUGCUCUCAAUGUGCCUUCUCCAGAUGCUGGGCAUAUGGUCUUGUCCUGAGAGCUCCAAGAUAAUUUGGCUUAGCUCGCUCAGUGAAGGAUGCAGCUGGAGCAGAGAGUGUGGAGAGAGACUUACUGCACUUCCAGAUAACAGCCUUGCUGAGCUUGAUUGAUGGAUGCUGUUUAAUCUGCCAGACAGGCUGAAACUUAAGAAAUGGAGCAGAAACACGCAGCUUGGGCAAACCAUUUGUGUAUAGCAAGGACAUGCACAGUGUCAUUUUAGGCAGCGUUUGUGCUAGGAAGCCACUGUGCACAGACUUCCUCACCAGCACAGCUGGGCACAGAAGAGCUUUGGUCUGUGUGGCAGAGCAUUGUACGUGCUUUGGCCACCUUUGUCUAAGGAUGAGAUUUCUUUCCUCUUCCAAGCCUUUCCCUUUGCAAUUAU